UACGGAGGGUGCAAGCGUUAUCCGGAUUCACUGGGUUUAAAGGGUGCGUAGGUGGCUUGGUAAGUCAGUGGUGAAAGCCCGGAGCUCAACUCCGGAACUGCCAUUGAUACUGCUCAGCUUGAAUCAGGUCGAGGUGGAUGGAAUAUUACAUGUAGCGGUGAAAUGCUUAGAUAUGUAAUAGAACACCGAUUGCGAAGGCAGUUCACUAGGCCUGUAUUGACACUGAGGCACGAAAGCGUGGGGAUCAAACAGG
This 253-nucleotide ribosomal RNA is filed under the name uncultured bacterium. RNAcentral describes it as "partial 16S ribosomal RNA". It matches the Rfam family "Bacterial small subunit ribosomal RNA", at positions 524 to 776 of the family's 1533-position model. The record is from RNAcentral.